RNAcentral lists this ribosomal RNA (403 nucleotides) under uncultured phototrophic eukaryote. RNAcentral's name for it is "bacterial SSU rRNA". It matches the Rfam family "Bacterial small subunit ribosomal RNA", at positions 28 to 457 of the family's 1533-position model. The record is from RNAcentral.
GAUGAACGCUGGCGGUAUGCUUUACACAUGCAAGUCGUACGAGAGUUUUUAACUCAAGUGGCGGACGGGUGAGUAACACGUAAGAAUUUGCCUUUAGGAGGGGGACAACAACUGGAAACGGUUGCUAAUACCCCAUAUGCUUUCGAGUGAAAUGGUUUUUCCGCCUAAAGAGAAGCUUGCGGCUGAUUAGCUUGUUGGUAAGGUAAUAGCUUACCAAGGCGACGAUCAGUAUCUGGUUUGAGAGGACGAUCAGACACACUGGAACUGAGACACGGUCCAGACUCCUACGGGAGGCAGCAGUGGGGAAUUUUCCGCAAUGGGCGAAAGCCUGACGGAGCAAUACCGCGUGAGGGAUGAAUGCCUAUGGGUUGUAAACCUCUUUUUUCAGGGAGGAACAAAAUGA